CAGGUGCAGAAUCUUGGUGGUAGUAGCAACUAUUCAAACGAGAGCUUUGAAGGCCGAAGUGGAGCAGGGUUCCAUGUGAACAGCAGUUGAACAUGGGUCAGUCGGUCCUAAGCGAUAGGCGAGCGCCGUUCUGAAGGGACGGGCGAUGGCCUCCGUUGCCCUCGGCCGAUCGAAAGGGAGUCGGGUUCAGAUCCCCGAAUCCGGAGCGGCGGAGACGGGCGCCGCGAGGCGCCCAGUGCGGUAACGCAGCGAUCCCGGAGAAGCCAGCGGGAGC
Molecule: ribosomal RNA, 274 nt
Filed under: Meleagris gallopavo (turkey)
Lineage: Eukaryota; Metazoa; Chordata; Aves; Galliformes; Phasianidae
Description: partial 28S ribosomal RNA
Rfam family: Eukaryotic large subunit ribosomal RNA
Source: RNAcentral